Long non-coding RNA from Sciurus carolinensis (gray squirrel), 612 nucleotides. RefSeq lists it as uncharacterized. The transcript has 2 exons. NCBI's taxonomy places the organism in Eukaryota, Metazoa, Chordata, Mammalia, Rodentia, Sciuridae. The record is from RefSeq and is a predicted model, not a curated record.
UAAUUAAACAAUGAAUAAAGCAAUAUAAUAGUCUCUUGAAAGUCACAUAGAUUUGAUAUUUCCUCUUCUUAUUUUUAGUGUACACAAAUAUGUAGAGGAGGAAUAAAAUCAAGAUUUGUAAUAUGUCAGCUUUCUGAUGGCCAGCUGUCACCAGAGCACAACUGUGAAAUCCUAAACAAACCACCUAGUGUGAUACAAUUUCAUAGCCUGCUUGCCUUGAUGAUGUAUCACGGCAUUGGGGACCAUGGAAAUUGGUCAAAUACAGGAAUCCCGCUGCCCAUGCCCCACCCCAGGGCUGUCAGAGAGCUGUCUGCUGUCCCACAUGUGUCUGUUGGGACAGAAGGAGAACUGCUGGGAAGGAGGGUUCCUGGCUGCGUGACAUCCGAAGGCGGUGGCAGCUUUGAGAUCAUGGACCCUGUCUUCCUGCACUUCCUCUGGGAACAGUGGAGUGGACAGCUGCUGAGAACACAGUGUGGGUGUCACCCAGCGUCUGGCUGAGGGCUUCAGCAGGGCAGGCUGGGAGGGACUGGUACCCUGCCUACACAGUCCUUUCCCUUGGUAUUGAAGCCAGAAUAACCCAGCUCAUGUGCUAAUAAAAUCUGUUGUUAUUUA